Molecule: long non-coding RNA, 225 nt
Organism: Gymnodraco acuticeps
Lineage: Eukaryota; Metazoa; Chordata; Actinopteri; Perciformes; Bathydraconidae
Exons: 3
Source: RefSeq, a predicted model, not a curated record
AGGAACGGGAGGUUUCGGACCAGGAGGUGCUGGCACAGGACCUGGAGGCUACGGACCAGGAGGCCCACGUUACGGAAAAAGAAAACCGUCUAAAUCUGGUUAUGGGUAUGGCGCAGGGCGAUUAGGAGGCGGUAUAGGUGCUGGUCCUGGUGGAGUUGGAGCUGGAUCUGCAGGCUAUGGCCCAGGAGGAUAUGGACCAGCUGGAACAGGGACAGGCAAUUUGGG